UACGAGGGGAGCAAGCGUUGUUCGGAUUUACUGGGCGUAAAGGGCGCGUAGGCGGCCACGACAAGUCACUUGUGAAAUCUCCGGGCUUAACCCGGAACGGUCAAGUGAUACUGUCGGGCUAGAGUACAGAAGGGGCAACUGGAAUUCUCGGUGUAGCGGUGAAAUGCGUAGAUAUCGAGAGGAACACCUGCGGCGAAGGCGGGUUGCUGGGCUGAUACUGACGCUGAGGCGCGAAAGCCAGGGGAGCGAACGGG
This 254-nucleotide ribosomal RNA is filed under the name uncultured bacterium. Its description in RNAcentral is "partial 16S ribosomal RNA". It matches the Rfam family "Bacterial small subunit ribosomal RNA", at positions 524 to 776 of the family's 1533-position model. The record is from RNAcentral.